Molecule: ribosomal RNA, 450 nt
Filed under: uncultured bacterium
Lineage: Bacteria
Description: partial 16S ribosomal RNA
Rfam family: Bacterial small subunit ribosomal RNA
Source: RNAcentral
GUGGGGAAUUUUGGACAAUGGGCGCAAGCCUGAUCCAGCAAUGCCGCGUGCAGGAAGAAGGCCUUCGGGUUGUAAACUGCUUUUGUACGGAACGAAAAGGUCUGGGUUAAUACCCUGGGCUCAUGACGGUACCGUAAGAAUAAGCACCGGCUAACUACGUGCCAGCAGCCGCGGUAAUACGUAGGGUGCGAGCGUUAAUCGGAAUUACUGGGCGUAAAGCGUGCGCAGGCGGUUUUGUAAGACAGGCGUGAAAUCCCCGGGCUCAACCUGGGAACUGCAUUGGUGACUGCAAGGCUGGAGUGCGGCAGAGGGGGAUGGAAUUCCGCGUGUAGCAGUGAAAUGCGUAGAUAUGCGGAGGAACACCGAUGGCGAAGGCAAUCCCCUGGGCCUGCACUGACGCUCAUGCACGAAAGCGUGGGGAGCAAACAGGAUUAGAUACCCUGGUAGUCC